This 301-nucleotide ribosomal RNA is filed under the name uncultured bacterium. RNAcentral describes it as "partial 16S ribosomal RNA". It matches the Rfam family "Bacterial small subunit ribosomal RNA", at positions 509 to 807 of the family's 1533-position model. The record is from RNAcentral.
CAGCAGCCGCGGUAAUACGAAGGGGGCUAGCGUUGUUCGGAUUUACUGGGCGUAAAGGGCGCGUAGGCGGAUUUGUAAGUCAGGGGUGAAAUCCCGAGGCUCAACCUCGGAACUGCCCUUGAUACUGUGGAUCUUGAGUCCGGGAGAGGUGAGUGGAACUGCGAGUGUAGAGGUGAAAUUCGUAGAUAUUCGCAAGAACACCAGUGGCGAAGGCGGCUCACUGGCCCGGAACUGACGCUGAGGCGCGAAAGCGUGGGGAGCAAACAGGAUUAGAUACCCGAGUAGUCCCUGUCUCUUAUAC